Molecule: ribosomal RNA, 1349 nt
Filed under: Escherichia coli
Lineage: Bacteria; Pseudomonadati; Pseudomonadota; Gammaproteobacteria; Enterobacterales; Enterobacteriaceae
Description: partial 23S ribosomal RNA
Rfam family: Bacterial large subunit ribosomal RNA
Source: RNAcentral
AAAGCCUCUAAGCAUCAGGUAACAUCAAAUCGUACCCCAAACCGACACAGGUGGUCAGGUAGAGAAUACCAAGGCGCUUGAGAGAACUCGGGUGAAGGAACUAGGCAAAAUGGUGCCGUAACUUCGGGAGAAGGCACGCUGAUAUGUAGGUGAAGUCCCUCGCGGAUGGAGCUGAAAUCAGUCGAAGAUACCAGCUGGCUGCAACUGUUUAUUAAAAACACAGCACUGUGCAAACACGAAAGUGGACGUAUACGGUGUGACGCCUGCCCGGUGCCGGAAGGUUAAUUGAUGGGGUUAGCGGCAACGCGAAGCUCUUGAUCGAAGCCCCGGUAAACGGCGGCCGUAACUAUAACGGUCCUAAGGUAGCGAAAUUCCUUGUCGGGUAAGUUCCGACCUGCACGAAUGGCGUAAUGAUGGCCAGGCUGUCUCCACCCGAGACUCAGUGAAAUUGAACUCGCUGUGAAGAUGCAGUGUACCCGCGGCAAGACGGAAAGACCCCGUGAACCUUUACUAUAGCUUGACACUGAACAUUGAGCCUUGAUGUGUAGGAUAGGUGGGAGGCUUUGAAGUGUGGACGCCAGUCUGCAUGGAGCCGACCUUGAAAUACCACCCUUUAAUGUUUGAUGUUCUAACGUUGGCCCGUAAUCCGGGUUGCGGACAGUGUCUGGUGGGUAGUUUGACUGGGGCGGUCUCCUCCUAAAGAGUAACGGAGGAGCACGAAGGUUGGCUAAUCCUGGUCGGACAUCAGGAGGUUAGUGCAAUGGCAUAAGCCAGCUUGACUGCGAGCGUGACGGCGCGAGCAGGUGCGAAAGCAGGUCAUAGUGAUCCGGUGGUUCUGAAUGGAAGGGCCAUCGCUCAACGGAUAAAAGGUACUCCGGGGAUAACAGGCUGAUACCGCCCAAGAGUUCAUAUCGACGGCGGUGUUUGGCACCUCGAUGUCGGCUCAUCACAUCCUGGGGCUGAAGUAGGUCCCAAGGGUAUGGCUGUUCGCCAUUUAAAGUGGUACGCGAGCUGGGUUUAGAACGUCGUGAGACAGUUCGGUCCCUAUCUGCCGUGGGCGCUGGAGAACUGAGGGGGGCUGCUCCUAGUACGAGAGGACCGGAGUGGACGCAUCACUGGUGUUCGGGUUGUCAUGCCAAUGGCACUGCCCGGUAGCUAAAUGCGGAAGAGAUAAGUGCUGAAAGCAUCUAAGCACGAAACUUGCCCCGAGAUGAGUUCUCCCUGACUCCUUGAGAGUCCUGAAGGAACGUUGAAGACGACGACGUUGAUAGGCCGGGUGUGUAAGCGCAGCGAUGCGUUGAGCUAACCGGUACUAAUGAACCGUGAGGCUUAACCUUACAACGCCGAAG